RNAcentral lists this ribosomal RNA (651 nucleotides) under Staphylococcus sp. RNAcentral describes it as "bacterial SSU rRNA". It matches the Rfam family "Bacterial small subunit ribosomal RNA", at positions 79 to 715 of the family's 1533-position model. The record is from RNAcentral. Lineage: Bacteria; Bacillati; Bacillota; Bacilli; Caryophanales; Staphylococcaceae.
GCUUCUCUGAUGUUAGCGGCGGCACGGGUGAGUAACACGUGGGUAACCUACCUAUAAGUACUGGGAUAACUCCGGGAAACCGGGGCUAAUACCGGAUAAUAUAUUGAACCGCAUGGUUCAAUGUUGAAAGACGGUUUCGGCUGUCACUUAUAGAUGGACCCGCGCCGUAUUAGCUAGUUGGUAAGGUAACGGCUUACCAAGGCAACGAUACGUAGCCGACCUGAGAGGGUGAUCGGCCACACUGGAACUGAGACACGGUCCAGACUCCUACGGGAGGCAGCAGUAGGGAAUCUUCCGCAAUGGGCGAAAGCCUGACGGAGCAACGCCGCGUGAGUGAUGAAGGUCUUAGGAUCGUAAAACUCUGUUGUUAGGGAAGAACAAAUUUGUUAGUAACUGAACAAGUCUUGACGGUACCUAACCAGAAAGCCACGGCUAACUACGUGCCAGCAGCCGCGGUAAUACGUAGGUGGCAAGCGUUAUCCGGAAUUAUUGGGCGUAAAGCGCGCGUAGGCGGUUUCUUAAGUCUGAUGUGAAAGCCCACGGCUCAACCGUGGAGGGUCAUUGGAAACUGGGGAACUUGAGUGCAGAAGAGGAGAGUGGAAUUCCAUGUGUAGCGGUGAAAUGCGCAGAGAUAUGGAGGAACACCAGUGG